AGAGUUUGAUCAUGGCUCAGAAUCAACGCUGGCGGCGUGCUUAACACAUGCAAGUCGCGUGCGCAGUUUUCUGUAGCAAUACAGGAGAUGGGCGCACGGCGCACGGGUGCGUAACACGUGGGCAAUCUGCCCUCCGAUGGGGAAUAACCCCGCGAAAGCGGGGCUAAUACCGCAUAACAUUCCUUGGACGAUGGUUCGAG
Molecule: ribosomal RNA, 200 nt
Filed under: uncultured bacterium
Lineage: Bacteria
Description: partial 16S ribosomal RNA
Rfam family: Bacterial small subunit ribosomal RNA
Source: RNAcentral